Molecule: ribosomal RNA, 253 nt
Filed under: uncultured bacterium
Lineage: Bacteria
Description: partial 16S ribosomal RNA
Rfam family: Bacterial small subunit ribosomal RNA
Source: RNAcentral
UACGUAGGGUGCGAGCGUUAAUCGGAAUUACUGGGCGUAAAGUGUGCGCAGGCGGCAGAGCAAGUCGAGUGUGAAAGCCCCGAGCCUAACUUGGGAAUUGCGCUCGAAACUACGUGGCUGGAGUGUGGCAGAGGAAGGUGGAAUUCCACGUGUAGCGGUGAAAUGCGUAGAGAUGUGGAGGAACACCAAUGGCGAAGGCAGCCUUCUGGGCCAACACUGACGCUCAUGCACGAAAGCGUGGGGAGCAAACAGG